RNAcentral lists this long non-coding RNA (1725 nucleotides) under Lynx pardinus (Iberian lynx). Lineage: Eukaryota; Metazoa; Chordata; Mammalia; Carnivora; Felidae. The record is from RNAcentral.
AACAACGUGUGUGUGCCCUCCCAGGACUGCCCCUGUGCCCAUGGGGGGCGCCUUUAUCCCCCGGGCAGCGUGGUGCUUCGUCCGUGUGAGAACUGGUAAGACCCCCACCCCACCCGAUGGUCCCGUGACCCGGGGGCACCCUGCUGUCCCUCCUCAGUGCUGGGGAUGAUGGCCUCCAGUGGGCCAUCCCCCUGGGCCCACAGGCACAGCCGGUCAGCAAUCUGGGGCCUGUGUCCACACCAUCCCCACCAACCUUUCUCUUCCCACCUGUCUCUGUCUGCUGAGGCUGCAGCAACCACACAGCAGACCUGGGGCUUGUCUUCUGACAGUUCAGGAGACUAGAAAUCUAAGAGCAAGGAGUCAGCAGGGUGGUUCCUCCUGAGGGCCGGGAGGGAGAAUCCAUUCCAGAACCUUCUCUUCUGUGGUGGCUGGCGAGCCUUGGCGUCCCUUGGCUUGUAGCUGCCUUCCUGCAACCCGCUCAGGUCGUGAUCUCAUGGUUCAUGGGUUCAAGCCCCGUGCUGGGCUCUGUGCUGACAGCUGGGAGCCUGGAGCCUGCUUUGGAUUCUGUGUCUCCCUCUGUCUCUGCCCCUCCCCUGCUCGUGCUCUGUGUCUCAAAAAUAAAUGAACAUAAAUAAAUAAACAAGUAAAUAAAUAAAGACACCAGUCAUAUUGGACCGUAGUGCCCUCACUGUGACUUGCUCAUCUCUAUAAAGACAUUGUUUCCAAAUCAGGUCACAUUCUGAAUACUGGGCGUUAGGGCUUCAACGUGUGAAUUUGGGGGAAUACACUUCAGCCUGUGACAGUGCCUCCGAACUUCUGCUGUUUUCUUCCAGCUCCUGUGUUUCUGGGCUCAUCACCAACUGCACCUCCUGGCCCUGUGAGGAGGGUGAGGAAGGGGCCUCGCACCUGACUGUGCCCCCUGCUUGCUCCCCACCAGGGGCAGAGUUGGGGGAAGGGAGAAGGGGUGCUCUGCCCAGGCCAGUGCCUCCAGCCUGCGCUCACUUCAUCCUCUCUCUCUCUUGGCCUUUCCCUCGUCUGUACCCCAGGUCAGCCCACGUGGUCCCCCUGGACCCCGUGGAGCGAGUGCUCGGCCUCCUGUGGCCCUGCCCGACGCCACCGGCACCGUUUCUGCACCAGGCCCCCCACCGCGGAACCAUCCAUCCUGGGGCUGCCGUCCCCACUGACGUUGCCUACGCCUCUUUGCCCAGGCUCCGAUGCUGAGGAAGAGCCCUGCCUCCUGGCAGCAUGUGACCGUGAGUCCUGCGGUGCCCAGGAUGGUGCCCUCCAUGCCCUGUGGAUACCUGCUGCCUUGCGCCAGCUGGCCCCCAGCCCUGGCCGGCCCCUCCCCCAGCUGCUCUUUUGCUGUCAUCCCAGGAGCUGGGGGCUGGGGUCCUUGGGGGCCCUGGUCCAGCUGUAGCCGGAGCUGUGGGGGGGGCCUGAGGAGCCGGAUGCGAGCCUGUGACCAGCCUCCACCCCAGGGCCUGGGGGAUUACUGCGAGGGGCCUCAGGCCCAGGGAGAGGCCUGCCAGGCCCUGCCAUGCCCAGGUACCUGCCAGGAACGGGGCACAGGGGUCAGGGAACACUAUGGAGAGACGGGCUGGGGUGGGCGGCACCCACAUGGCUCUCAACCCACCCUGUCCCCUUCCCCAGUGACCAACUGCACCACCAUUCAAGGGGCUGAGUACAGCCCCUGUGGCCCUCCCUGUCCUCGCUCCUGUGACGAUC